GAUGAACGCUGGCGGCGUGCCUAAUACAUGCAAGUCGAGCGAACAGAUGAGGAGCUUGCUCCUCUGACGUUAGCGGCAGACGGGUGAGUAACACGUGGAUAACCUACCUAUAAGACUGGGAUAACUUCGGGAAACCGGAGCUAAUACCGGAUAAUAUAUUGAACCGCAUGGUUCAAUAGUGAAAGACGGUUUUGCUGUCACUUAUAGAUGGAUCCGCGCCGCAUUAGCUAGUUGGUAAGGUAACGGCUUACCAAGGCAACGAUGCGUAGCCGACCUGAGAGGGUGAUCGGCCACACUGGAACUGAGACACGGUCCAGACUCCUACGGGAGGCAGCAGUAGGGAAUCUUCCGCAAUGGGCGGAAGCCUGACGGAGCAACGCCGCGUGAGUGAUGAAGGUCUUCGGAUCGUAAAACUCUGUUAUUAGGGAAGAACAAAUGUGUAAGUAACUAUGCACGUCUUGACGGUACCUAAUCAGAAAGCCACGGCUAACUACGUG
RNAcentral lists this ribosomal RNA (497 nucleotides) under uncultured bacterium. Its description in RNAcentral is "partial 16S ribosomal RNA". It matches the Rfam family "Bacterial small subunit ribosomal RNA", at positions 28 to 507 of the family's 1533-position model. The record is from RNAcentral.